GACGAACGCUGGCGGCGUGCUUAACACAUGCAAGUCGAACGGAAAGGCCCUGCUUUUGUGGGGUGCUCGAGUGGCGAACGGGGGAGUAACACGUGAGUAACCUGCCCUUGACUUUGGGAGAACUUCAGGAAACUGGGGCUAAUACCGGAUAGGAGCUCCUGCUGCAUGGUGGGGGUUGGAAAGUUUCGGCGGUUGGGGAUGGACUCGCGGCUUAUCAGCUUGUUGGUGGGGUAGUGGCUUACCAAGGCUUUGACGGGUAGCCGGCCUGAGAGGGUGACCGGCCACAUUGGGACUGAGAUACGGCCCAGACUCCUACGGGAGGCAGCAGUGGGGAAUAUUGCACAAUGGGCGGAAGCCUGAUGCAGCAACGCCGCGUGCGGGAUGACGGCCUUCGGGUUGUAAACCGCUUUCGCCUGUGACGAAGCGUGAGUGACGGUAAUGGGUAAAGAAGCACCGGCUAACUACGUG
This 468-nucleotide ribosomal RNA is filed under the name uncultured bacterium. RNAcentral describes it as "partial 16S ribosomal RNA". It matches the Rfam family "Bacterial small subunit ribosomal RNA", at positions 28 to 507 of the family's 1533-position model. The record is from RNAcentral.